Molecule: ribosomal RNA, 1492 nt
Filed under: uncultured bacterium
Lineage: Bacteria
Description: bacterial SSU rRNA
Rfam family: Bacterial small subunit ribosomal RNA
Source: RNAcentral
AGAGUUUGAUCCUGGCUCAGGACGAACGCUGGCGGCGCGCUUUAUGCAUGCAAGUCGAACGGACCUUCGGGUCAGUGGCGGACGGCUGAGUAACGCGUAGGCAAUCUGCCCAGUGGUGGGGGAUAACUCGCCGAAAGGUGAGCUAAUACCGCAUAAGUUCAGUGGUUGAAAUACCACUGAGGAAAGCAGCAAUGCACCACUGGAGGAGCCUGCGUCCUAUCAGGUAGUUGGUGGGGUAACGGCCUACCAAGCCGAUGACGGGUAGCUGGUCUGAGAGGACGACCAGCCAGAAGGGGACUGAGACACGGCCCCUACUCCUACGGGGAGGCAGCAGCAAGGAAUCUUGGGCAAUGGACGAAAGUCUGACCCAGCGACGCCCCGUGAGGGAUGAAGGGCCUUCGGGUCGUAAACCUCUUUUGCGGGGGAAGAAGAUCUGACGGGUACCCCGCGAAUAAGCCACGGGUAACUACGUGGCCAGCAGCCGCGGGUAAUACGUGGGGUGGCAAGCGUUGUCCGGAUUUACUGGGGCGUAAAGGGGCUUGUAGGGCGGUUUGUUAAGUCUGGGUGGUGAAAUCUCCCCGGGCUCAACCGGGGAGGGGGUCAUUCGGAUACUGUGCAGACUUUGAGGACGGGGUAGAGGAAAAGCAGAAAUUCCCUGGUGUAGCCGGGUGAAAUGCGUUGAAUAUCGGGGAGGGAAAUACCCACUGGCGAAAGCGGCUUUCUUGGGGGCUGGUUCUGACGCUGAGGAGCGAAACGGGUGGGGGACCAACCGUAUAGAUACCCGGUUAGUCCACGCCUAACCGGUGAUGCUAGGGUGUGGGUGGGUGUCGACCCCUCCAGUGGCGCAGCUAACGCUUGAGCAUCCGCUUGGGGAGUACCGGCCGCAAGGCUAAAACUCAAAAGGAAUUCGACGGGGGCCCGCACAAGCGGCGGAGCGUGUGGUUUUAUUUCGAUGCAACGCGAAGACCUUACCCACGGCUUGACAUGCUAGUAGUAGGGAGUCGAAAGACAAAGGACCCUUUGGGGGAGUUAGCACAGGUGCUGCAUGCCUGUCGUCAGCUCGUGCCGUGAGGUGUUGGGUUAAGUCCGCAACGAGCGCAACCCCCCUUCGUUAGUUAAAUCUUUCUAACGAGACCGCUGGGAUAAACCCAGAGGAAGGUGGGGAUGACGUCAAGUCAGCAUGGCCCUUACGUCUUGGGCCUACACACACGCUACAAUGGCCGGUACAAUGGGCUGCCAAGGCGCGAGCCGGAGCUAAUCCCCUCAAAACCGGCCCCAGUUCAGAUUGCAGGCUGCAACUCGCCUGCAUGAAGGCGGAGUCGCUAGUAACCGCAGGUCAGCUACACUGCGGUGAAUACGUUCCCGGGCCUUGUACACACCGCCCGUCACGUCAUGGAAGCCGGCAGCACCUGAAGCCGCUGAGCCAACGCGCAAGCGAGGCAUGCGUCUAGGGUGAGGUUGGUAACUGGGACGAAGUCGUAACAAGGUAACC